Long non-coding RNA from Pan paniscus (pygmy chimpanzee), 1417 nucleotides. Lineage: Eukaryota; Metazoa; Chordata; Mammalia; Primates; Hominidae. The record is from Ensembl.
CUAAAGUUCAUUUUUUUAAUAUUCAGUUGCAACAUAUACAAGUAGUUUUGCUUAAGAGAAAAAGUCAAUGUUAGAAUGAAUGUCCUCUUGUUUCAUUUUAUAAAGCUUUCACUGAUGGGUUUUCCGGCAUUGUAGACAUCUCCUGUGUCAUCCAUAGUGUGGUUCUAUGUAUUCUGAAGGGAGUUGCAGUUGACUUGCAAUUUCUCAUCCAGUAUUAACCUUAAUUUAUGCACUCAUGUGAUAGUUCUCAAAUAGUUGUCUCAUCAGAACAAGUAAGGCUGCAAUAGCACUUUUUAAAUGUUGCUCAAUUUCUUUUUUUCCUGCCCAGCUUCUGUGGAAAACAUUUUCAAGUUCAUUAGAUCAAACUUGUUGAGAAUGGCUGACAUCUGAGAAUCAAACCAACACUCCUCAGCAUUGAGUCAAAAAGUCACAGAAGGCAAGAGAUCCUUAUCCUUCAAGGCAAGAGAGAUGGAGCUAUUGGAAUAUUCUUUUUCCUUGAUCAAAAUAACCUUCAUCGGGGAAAUAUUCUCUUACAAAAAUACCACAGCUCUCUGACCAGUUCUUCAAUCACAGUCUAUCAGAUCCUCAAUGGCUUUGGAUGAUAUUUUUGACAAAUCCCAUAUGCAUCAGUCUGGGUCACAUCAGGAAACAGAUGGCGCAGUCAGCAUUGAAAUAUAAAGGAGUUUAAUAAGGUGGUGUUUACAGAGAUAAUGGUAAGAUCAAGGGAACUGAGAAGAAAUCCUGAAGCACUCAGGGACUCCCAACAGUGGGAGCUAAUGAGCUGUAGCCCUGCAGAGGUAGGGUUAGAGAGCUGAAACUGUAGCUGGGAGACCCCACAGGGAUGGUCACCAUGGGUAAGAAACACAGGCACUAGCCAGCUAUACCCAUGGUGUAAGUUUAGGUGAAAUAAAUACCUUGACUGUCCUUUCCUCCCUGUCUCUACUGCUCUGCUGCUACCUCAUUGGCUGGGUAUAAUCAGAAGCUGAAGACAUGGGAGCCCAGGUCCUGCAGUGUGUGGAGUUCACUCUUCUGGGCAACGAGCAGGAAGAAAAGUGCAAAAAAUGCAUUAGAUGUGCAAACGAGUGACCAGUACAGUACAGCUUCUUGGUGAAUUUUAGGCCUUCAGUUAUCUCAUUUUCAAGUUUCAACAUUCAGCCAAGUUUAUACAAAAAUGUGAACCUCAGAUUUAGCUUAAAACGACUCCCUCUCUGCCCCACGGCAUUCAGGCCGCCCUGAACUCCAUAUUGUACAGCCUUUUUCUCUCCUCGUCUGCCCAUCGUUUUGCCUCUGGCUUCUCCAGGACAGAGGCAGGUCUUGCGGGAUAUGAAUGAGAGUUAAGAGGACAUUGACCUUUAUACUCAGUUAGUGUUGUUUCUUGCUCUAGAGCAACUGAAAAAUACUUUCCAUCAUGGCAAGC